AAAGAAAUAGUAGCAGAUAUGAAACGUAGCAAAUAGAAAGCUAAUGGGUGAUGGGAAUUAGCACGCCAUAUCUUGUGAAUUGGACUUUGGAAAACAAUUGAAUGAGUUUUGAAAGUGAACAUGAAUUAUGUUAACUAAGGUGGCACCACGGUAACGCGUCCUUACAGGUAUAUGCGUUAUGUGGUGUCUUUUUAU
Molecule: unclassified non-coding RNA, 195 nt
Filed under: Staphylococcus aureus subsp. aureus MRSA252
Lineage: Bacteria; Bacillati; Bacillota; Bacilli; Caryophanales; Staphylococcaceae
Also listed under: 1 other name
Description: T-box leader as predicted by Rfam
Source: RNAcentral